UACGUAGGGUGCGAGCGUUAAUCGGAAUUACUGGGCGUAAAGCGUGCGCAGGCGAUUUGUUAAGCUAGAUGUGAAAGCCCCGAACUCAACCUGGGAAUUGCAUUUAGAACUGGCAGGCUAGAGUCUUGGAGAGGGGAGUGGAAUUCCAGGUGUAGCGGUGAAAUGCGUAGAUAUCUGGAGGAACAUCAGUGGCGAAAACAACUCCCUGGCCAAAGACUGACGCUCAUGUGCGAAAGUGUAAAUAACGAACAGG
This 253-nucleotide ribosomal RNA is filed under the name uncultured bacterium. RNAcentral's name for it is "partial 16S ribosomal RNA". It matches the Rfam family "Bacterial small subunit ribosomal RNA", at positions 524 to 776 of the family's 1533-position model. The record is from RNAcentral.